This is a non-coding RNA of Marmota flaviventris (yellow-bellied marmot), 735 nucleotides long. The record is from RefSeq and is a predicted model, not a curated record. NCBI's taxonomy places the organism in Eukaryota, Metazoa, Chordata, Mammalia, Rodentia, Sciuridae.
CUCUUCUGAACAGAUGCCUCUAGAGGAUUUCCCCACCUAGAAAACAUCUCCCAGCAGAUGGCCUUUAUAUCGCUGCAGUUACUUGAUGGUGCAGAGAUGGCUGCUGGAAUGCAAGCGAUCACUUCACAUCACAGGGAUCAGCAGGAAGAGGGAAAGGACACAAAUGCCUUCCUCCCAGUUCUCUUUUAGGUUUUCAUGAAUGGUACUAGGUUUUGCAAGAGGAUCUCACAGCUGAAUGCAGAGAAAAACGGAGAGGGGGUAUUUAUCCAGAAGCCUCACCAUCUACACCACAGUGUGCUGACAACCAGGAAAUUCCAAGAGGAUGAACAAUUACAGUUAUAAUUUUCAACUGUCUUUGUUAUGAGCAUCCUGCCUUUGCCUUUCGGUCCUGCCUAAUCUUGUUUUACCCUGUACAUUUACUGCCUCACUUCCUUCUUCAGAAAUGGCAAGUUUUCUUUCUGCUCUGUUAAGUAUGUAAAUGUCUUUAAUGCAGAGAGAUGAGGGAGGAUAAGUGAGCUACCGAUGUGGAGGGUUUGUCCAGGAGAAAUGCAAAGACGGGAGACUGGAAAAAAAUCAGGCAGGUCUGGGGAAUGUGGAGGCCUGUGGAGUGCCCGUUGGGCAGGGCAUGGGGAGGAGUAGCAACGAUGAGAAAUGACCUUCACUUUCUCCUGUGACCAGGGACACAUUUGUGAUGGAAGAUAGCUGUGUCACUUAUGGGAUAAAGUGCUAAAUAAA